RNAcentral lists this long non-coding RNA (1459 nucleotides) under Homo sapiens (human). RNAcentral's name for it is "HSALNT0292160". The record is from RNAcentral. Lineage: Eukaryota; Metazoa; Chordata; Mammalia; Primates; Hominidae.
UCUUUCUCUUCAUAGUCCCAUCUGCUUCUUUUCUUCUCUUUUGGGUUGUUUGCUGGAUGACUUGAAUGGUUUUGCAACUGAUCCUGCAUGAACGAGUGCAUAGGAACAUUCUGGAUGAAGUGGUACUGCAGGUUAGGCAGGGAUUUGUAUCUGCAAUGGAUGUAGAUCGAUUUGAAACGACUGUGGAUCUGGCUGCAGUUGGAGAUGAAAAUUUUAAAGGAUAAAAAUCAGUGAAGGGAGAGAGUAAUGGGCUGCUGCUGCUGCUGGCUUGUGUUUACAGAAGGUUGCUGAUCUUCUUUAUCAAGGAGUAUGGUUCUGCUUCUGCAUGAAGAGUCUAAAGACUGAUUGUGAAGGUUGCAGUGUUUGUCUGUGUAAAACUCAAAAUAUAAAUUAAAUUGAAGCUUAGUGGCAACCUUUGGCUUAAAGGUUUUGCUCUGCUUCAAGAACUACAAGUUUGCAUUCAUUUCAUCUGUAUUUCUGUGUUUUGUUUGCCAGCCAUCAUUUCUCUGCUAUUAUCCUUUUUAUAGUUAAAUGCCAUCUGCCACUGCUAUGUUUCGGCAUUGCAUGCUAUGGUUCACCGGUAGAAAGGGUAAGGUACUGUAUGAUCAUUCUCAUUUCAUUUUGCUUUGAAAACUCUAAACCAGCAAAUAAAAGUCAAUUUUAAUGAUCUUGUCCUAAGUACCUCUUGUCUAUUAGGAGUGACUGUUAGUUUUAGUAUUAAUGGUUUUGUUAUUUUGCCUUUCCAGAGUAAUCUCUCUUUUAUGUUUCGAGCAGUUCAAGAAACUUAGAAAUGAAAAGAUUUGGAGAGGUUAGCACUUUCUCUCAACUACAAGUAACAGUGCACUGUUAGAGAUGCUAGUAGUUAUGGGAGUUUUAGCAUGAGAUCUGGAUUUUGCAAAGAACUUGUGAUUCAGUAAACAGGGAAGAAUUGAUGAUGCAAGAGAGAAAGGAGAGAGUUGCUGGAUCAGUGUCCUGGAGAAAGCAAGAGAGAAUGGGAUCUAACACACAGGUGGGAGCAGUGUCUUUGGCUUGGAGCAUGGGCAGUUUAUUCAUAGUGUUAUAACAUAGCUGUGGUUGUUGAUGAGACCUUAAAUAGAUUAAAGCAGUGAUAAUAGGGAGGAAAAUGGACUAGAUUUGAGAUUUUAAAAAAUCUAUAGGAACUGGGGCACAGUGGUAUGCACCUGUAGUCCUAGCUAUUCAGGAGGCUGAGGCCAGAGGACCACUUGAGCCCAGGAGUUUAAGACUGUAGUGUUCUAUGAUCACACCUGGUGCAUAGCCACUGCACUCCAGCCUGGGCAAUAUAGUGAUGCCCUGUCUCUAAAAAAGUUUUUUUUUUUUUUUUAAUCUGUAGGAACUGGUAAUUGCUCAGAAAUGGGAGGUGAGAGAAUUUGGGUACUAAGGGUGAUGCUCUUGGCUUGGCUUACUGUUGGAUGUUGUCAACUCCUUCCUUCCUUCCUUC